This 61-nucleotide transfer RNA is filed under the name Fukomys damarensis (Damara mole-rat). It matches the Rfam family "tRNA", at positions 6 to 65 of the family's 71-position model. Rfam says of the family: Transfer RNA (tRNA) molecules are approximately 80 nucleotides in length. The record is from Rfam by way of RNAcentral. Lineage: Eukaryota; Metazoa; Chordata; Mammalia; Rodentia; Bathyergidae.
UAUAGUUCAGCAGUAGAACACUUGCCUGGUUUGCAUGAGACCCUGGGUUCAAACCCCAGUA